GGACGUGAGGUUGAUCUGGCUGCGACAUCUGUCACCCCAUUGAUCACCAGGGAUGAUUCAGCUGAUCUGGCCAGCUUGACGGGUAUCCCCUUCCUCCCUCACCAUUCUAUGUGCAUCCCUCCUGAACCUGCGCGUUCGGUCAAAGAGGAUGACCUUCCCCGAAUAGAGAUGGACCAGUCUUCGGUGGAGAGUAUAUGAGUAGCUGUAUUUCCCUGCUAGAUCCUCCAAAUAAGCUCCUGAGAAAGUCUGUUUGUUCAUGCAUACGUUUAUCCAUCAAAACAUUACUGAAUGUUU
Erinaceus europaeus (western European hedgehog) is the source of this 294-nucleotide unclassified non-coding RNA. Its record names the gene 7SK. It matches the Rfam family "7SK RNA". Rfam says of the family: 7SK was discovered as an abundant small nuclear RNA in the mid-70s but a possible function has only recently been suggested. Two independent studies have found that 7SK RNA binds the CDK9/cyclin T complex (known as elongation factor P-TEFb). P-TEFb activates transcription by phosphorylating the C-terminal domain of RNA polymerase II. NCBI's taxonomy places the organism in Eukaryota, Metazoa, Chordata, Mammalia, Eulipotyphla, Erinaceidae. The record is from Ensembl.